UUAGACAUGACGUUAGGCUAGAUCACCUGCUGAAUUU
This 37-nucleotide ribosomal RNA is filed under the name Dinophysis norvegica. RNAcentral's name for it is "partial 24S ribosomal RNA". Lineage: Eukaryota; Dinophyceae; Dinophysales; Dinophysaceae. The record is from RNAcentral.